This 21-nucleotide non-coding RNA is filed under the name Caenorhabditis elegans. Lineage: Eukaryota; Metazoa; Nematoda; Chromadorea; Rhabditida; Rhabditidae. The record is from RNAcentral.
UAUAAUUUUGAAAACUCGAAA